CGUGUAGGCGGCUUGCAAAGUCGGGCGUGAAAGCCCCGGGCUCAACCCGGGAAUUGCGUUCGAUACUGGCGAGCUAGAGUUCGGGAGAGGGUCGUGGAAUUCCCAGUGUAGAGGUGAAAUUCGUAGAUAUUGGGAAGAACACCAGUGGCGAAGGCGGCGACCUGGACCGAUACUGACGCUAAGGCGCGAAAGCGUGGGGAGCAAACAGGAUUAGAUACCCUGGUAGUCCACGCUGUAAACGAUGAGUGCUAGACGUUGGGGGACCUAGUUUCCCAGUGUCGCAGCUAACGCAUUAAGCACUCCGCCUGGGGAGUACGGCCGCAAGGUUAAA
This 331-nucleotide ribosomal RNA is filed under the name uncultured Pseudomonadota bacterium. RNAcentral describes it as "bacterial SSU rRNA". It matches the Rfam family "Bacterial small subunit ribosomal RNA", at positions 568 to 898 of the family's 1533-position model. Lineage: Bacteria; Pseudomonadati; Pseudomonadota. The record is from RNAcentral.